Molecule: long non-coding RNA, 1733 nt
Organism: Meleagris gallopavo (turkey)
Lineage: Eukaryota; Metazoa; Chordata; Aves; Galliformes; Phasianidae
Source: Ensembl
AUUUAAUUGGUAAAAAUAGAAGACAGCUUUAGAAUUUCAUGAAGUCAGUGCUAUUGCUGCCCUCGUGUAGUGCAGUCAUCCUUCAGUUUGUAACAUUGGGAUUUAGCAGUUUCUUUCCCAGCCUGAAAGCUAGCAUUUUUGAAAGGGAACAUAAGUAGUAUUGUAAGUUAAAUAAAAUUAUUCCAAUAUAUUUUCUCAGUAAACACAAAGGUGAAGACACCCAACAUAAAAAGACCAUUUGAUCCAGGAAUAAAUAAAUAAAUGAAUAAGUAAAAUAAAAAACAAAUUCAGGAUGGAAGAUACUUAUUUUUCAAACUUGUCUCUCCAUGUUUAGCUCAUACUGCAGUGGGAUAAGUGGGCCCCUUCUGCACGCAGGUAGCAGCUCAAUUUUGGCAAGGGGGAAGCUAGGAAUGUGUAGUUAGCCCUGAUCCCCAGCACCUGGUACAAAGGCCAUUUAAGAAGCCAGAGGAGCACAUAAGUGUCUGAAAAAAACAAGAAGAUCUUCAUUCUUGGUUUGAAAGAGGUUAGUGAUGGUUUUACUUGCUAGUAUCUUCACUUUGUUGAUGAGGAAAAAAAAGCCCAAAACAGUAUCUCUGAUGUUGCUUAGGAGUUGGUGUGGUGCUUGCUGCCCCACUGGGGCAGAGGCGAGUGGACUGCAGACUUCUGUUCCCUGCUGCGUUGGUUGCACUGUAUGUUAUGGCUGUUGGCUGCUCUCAGGGCAUGGGUAGAACAGGGUUCAGGCUGUGGAGCUCUAGUUCAGCUACAGGCUCAGUAAAAUAAGCGGCUGUUUCAUGGUUGAACUUCUUAUCUUAGGUAAGAAGGAAAACUGAAAGUAUUAAGCUGUUGCUGGCAUCUUUCUGGAAGCUAACGCUAUUGGUGCAUGGCGGAAAGCAGCUGUAACCUUGCUGUGAGGGAGCAGCCUGGCUCCUGCAAGCUCACUGCAGGCACAUCUGGACCACAGCUGUUCCACAUCUUCAGCUUCAUCCCUGGAGAAGCAGCACAGGGAGCAAUUGCAUUGAAGAGGUUGUUCAGCAAAAACAUAUUGACAUGGUCUGUCAUCUGCAGGCAAGCAGAGUGCUGACCCAGGCGUCAGAGUCACCUUUGAGGCAGGGAGAUUUAAAGUCUUCUGUGCAAGAAGAAGAGGGGAGCAAUUUUCAGAUUGCUUAAACAGAAGAAGAGAAUGGUUGAUAAGGGGAGGCAUGGCUGCAUUGGGUCCUUUCAGAUGCUUUGAAACUGCUUUUGAGGAAAAAAUACCUGAUUAAAAAUGGUGUUUUAUUAUAGGAUUCACUACUGAAUUGUGGUUUUUUUUGUUUUGUUUUGUUUUUUUUGUUUUCUUUCUGGAGUGUUCUCUAUUUUUCCAUUUUAGUUUUAUUGAGUCUGGAAUCUGUCAUGUAGUUACAAACUUAACCAACCUUUAAAAAGCUGGUUAAACUGAAGAGGGGAAAAAAGUCAAUACUUGCUCUCAGCUAUACAUUUAUUUAAAAAAACAAAGCACCAAAAUCUAUUACCCUUGCUUAUUUCACUUUGGCUUCCUGAGCUCAGUGCCUUAUUCUGGGACAAUGCUGCUAUUUUGAGCUUCUAAGCCCUUCUUCUGUUGUUUGAGUGCAAUGUGGACCAUGAAACAGUGCUGGGCAAGUAGUUCUAUUGGUUAUAGAGUACCCUGUAACAGCUCACUGUCUCUGUGGUCAGGCUGCUGUUGGUUGGGUUUAUCUGUUGUCUGCUGGGUACAGAAU